UGUGGUCUUCUGAACCUGUUCUCCUGCUUGUAGGGGAUCUGGGACAUUGAUGACACAAACUUUGCAUCAGGUGCAGCAUUCCAAUUCCAGUGCCAAAGGACUGCAAGCCUGAAACUCCAGUCCUCCUGCCCAGCGCCACGAGCAGCCCACAGGACCCUGUGCGGUGAUUGGAGAUUGUGCAAGUCUGAAUGUGCCCCGCAG
RNAcentral lists this long non-coding RNA (201 nucleotides) under Fukomys damarensis (Damara mole-rat). Its description in RNAcentral is "lncRNA (ENSFDAG00000024272.1)". The record is from RNAcentral. Lineage: Eukaryota; Metazoa; Chordata; Mammalia; Rodentia; Bathyergidae.